CUGCCGAUUGCAAGCGCAGGAGCAGCCUGAGAGCGGCGUUGGAACGCCGGAGGGCUGCCAUUCCUUGCCGCUGCUGCUCGCUCAUUCUCACGCGGAAGAUGAUUUGAUCCAACGGUCAACGCACACUUGGCUAUAUCUCCACCAUAGGGCUCUCGGACUAAGAUUUUGUGGGUGGAAGUGGAGGAGAACCGAUGGAGGGUGCCAGUUUGGUUCGUUUCCCUUCCAGUUUUGUUCGCUCGAGCUGGACAAUUCCCAGCCCACGGGGGAUUGUCCUCAAGAGGCAUGGAGUUAAGCUCUGCAUUUCGUGCCGGUCAGAGUCACCUGAGACGAUGGUUGUCUCCAUAACAGGUGCCACGGGAUUUAUUGGAAGAAGAUUGGUACACAGGCUAGCUUCGGAUGGACACAAAGUCCGAGUUCUUACGCGUUCCAUUUCGAAGGCAGCUGAUCUUUUCCCGGCAAGGGACUAUCCGACCGUUGAGGUAUCCUUAGAGCGUGAUCUGGAGAAAUGCAUUCCAGGAUCGACUGGAGUUGUCAAUCUUACUGGGACACCUAUCAGCACUCGCUGGACAUCGGAGGUGAAAGACGAGAUCAAACGAAGCAGGAUAAGUCUCACCACAAAGCUUGUUGAAACCAUCAACACUACUCCAAAAGAACUACGUCCCAAGGUUUUAGUGAGUGCUUCCGCCGUGGGAUUCUACGGAGCAAGCGAGACAUCUACGUAUGACGAAACGAGUCCUUCGGGAAAUGAUUAUCUCGCCGAAGUUUGCCGGGAAUGGGAAGCUGCCGCAAGCAAUGUUGAUGGCAGUGUAAAGCUUGUCCUCCUUCGCAUUGGCAUUGUACUCGACAAGGAGGGUGGCGCUCUAGCAAGCAUGGUCCCAUUAUUCAAAGUUUUUGCUGGCGGUCCUAUAGGCUCUGGAAAACAAUGGUUCUCGUGGGUGCAUCGCGAGGAUUUGGUGUCACUGAUAAUUGAAGCGCUAACGAAUCCAACCUACAAAGGUGUAAUCAAUGGGACAGCCCCGAAUCCAGUCCGAAUGGCCGAGAUUUGUGACACUCUGGGAAGAGUCUUGGGACGUCCGUCAUGGCUCCCUGUUCCUGAGAUUGCUCUCAAAGCAGUACUUGGAGAGGGUGCGAGUGCGGUUCUCGACGGUCAAAGAGUGGUACCAAAGAGAGCUCAAGAGCUCGGUUUCAAGUUUAAGUACCGCUACAUUGGGGACGCUCUGAAGGCAAUCUUUGCUUCCUAGAAAGGCAAAGGACGGACUCUUAUUCCUCGUCGUUCUUUCUUCGUCGUCACUGCUGUGGAGCUUGCUACCGCUGCUGCUUUCACCACAGCUUUUUCACCACCAAACGAAGCAGUCACAGCUGGCCCGUGGACGUACGUUUGGCAGCUAGUAGACAGGAAGGAGCAGUCCACACAAGGCUAGUUCCCUGCCCAAAGACAUGUACCUGACAACGCUGGUGGACAAGACACUGUUGCAGCCAGCAGGCUUUGAGAUAUGUGAACUUCGUAGUUCCAGGUCCCUCUAUAAGAGCUCGAGCAAGAUUCAAGUCCGAUAUCUCAACUACAGGGUGCAGUGUAAAGCUUCGUCCUCGUUCGUUCGAACUGGCAAGGAUUAUCAAAGAAAAAGAUUGGCUGUUAGAGUUUGUGAGGACUGAUCACUGUGAUUUCAGUUACUGGCAUGCAUGCAGCAAGCAAGCAGGUUUCAUUAUUCUAAAGUUUAUAUCCCGGCAGACGGUCCAAUUGCCAGAGGUAACGUAAAAGCUUGUUCGUUUAAACAGUGGAGAGUUUGGCAGAUUCUUUCUUAACAAAGUGGUCUCUUAUUUAUGGUAACACUUGAGCUUGAUUUUUCUUCUUCUUUCCUCAUGCUACACACCACUGUGUCUCUUUUGUUCUUCAGGUGUCUUAUCCUGAACGUGAAUGGUCACUCCAGCUUGAAUGCUAUGCGCUUGCUUUCAACAACGACAACAACAGCUUCUAGACGCGGUCAAAAGAGCGGCAAAUUUCGCUCCGGGGCUCGACUUCGAAGUUGUUUUAAAGUACGGUCUACACUCCAUUGGCGGAAGGAGCACCCCUAUACUUCGUUCGUCAUCGGCCUGUGAGAGACGAGACGACGACCCCUGUCGUGGCGCUGCUGCCGCUGCUGCUGCUGUUCUCUCGAGCACCAAAACGAAUCAGUCCCCAGCGCUAGCUGGUCCUUGUGACGUAGCACACUUGGAAGUUAGUACUCAGGGAGACCAGUCCGCACAGAUAAGAUAACUUCCUUACUUCCCAUGGCUCUGAUCUGACGCUGUGGAGGAACAAGUCCCCAGGAGAAGACUUUGAAAUAUGUGAAGUUCCAAGCUCCAAUCCUCCAAAAGUGCUAUAACUCGGAGAGCCAGCAGCUUUAAAAUACAUAUACCGUCAUGUGGAGGAACACUACUACCCAGCUGCGGUGCUGCUGUAACUUUCACGGGAGCGGAGGAAACACUAGUUUUCUCGUGAGUUUGAACGCCCAGCUCCGCAAUUCCAUGUGCUGUCCCUGCUAGAUUCACUUGAAACACGGCUGCGAUUAAGGUAUACGAUGAGAGCUGACUGACUCCAGUUACAUCAAUCACACCUCGGUUUAAACUC
Molecule: RNA transcript, 2608 nt
Organism: Selaginella moellendorffii
Lineage: Eukaryota; Viridiplantae; Streptophyta; Lycopodiopsida; Selaginellales; Selaginellaceae
Gene name: epimerase family protein SDR39U1 homolog, chloroplastic
Exons: 14
Source: RefSeq, a predicted model, not a curated record